ACCUAGUAGUCAUUUCUUGCCA
Molecule: non-coding RNA, 22 nt
Filed under: Arabidopsis thaliana (thale cress)
Lineage: Eukaryota; Viridiplantae; Streptophyta; Magnoliopsida; Brassicales; Brassicaceae
Source: RNAcentral